CUACUCCCUCCUCCUGAAAAUCCCACUGUUUCCCAACAUUCUGCCCUCUGCUCUCAGGCCUCAUGGUGGUCAUUACUGCCGUUUGCCAACCCCCUCACUUCUGUGCAUGAGGUGCCUGGAACAUUCAAGAUGUCCUCUCCUCCAUCAGCAUGGGUCCCUGAGGAACCACAGGGACGGGAAGCCACCCCACGCCACAGCCAGCCUGAAGUGGACAUGCAGCACGAUGAGAAAUAAACCCAGGCGGUUUAAAAUGUUGGCAUUUUAGAGCUGUUUGUUGCUGGCGCAGAACUUAGCCCAUGUGGCAUAGAAAUGGGCCCCCGGAAGAAGGGUGCUGCUUGAACAAAAUGACACAGGACACGCACGCCAUUGGCUUGGGGGCUGCCUGUGGCCUAGUACCAGAAGCUGGCCUGAUGGCAAGCCGGGUGACGCAGCGGUGAAACAUUUGGUAAAACUCAGCCGGGAUGACUCACGAGGCAGAUGAUGUCCGAAAUAGCUCGUAGGUCUGGUGGAAGAGGUUGGGAAACAUGAGCAGCAUGUGUUGGUCACAGGCUGCAUUUGGCAAGAUACAACGAGGAAGAGAUGGGCUAAAAAAUAUUCCGGGUUUACAAGCUGGGAGGAAAAGGAACGGAGAGAGGCCAGCAAUGCUGGGACUCGGGGUUGAGUGCGCUCCUGCGCAGCCCAGAGGCUAGAUCAGACGCAGGACAGGCUGUGGCAAGGACAAUCUCAAGGAUACCGGCAUCACCCCCUGGGUAUGACUGCUGGGAGUUCCUUCUGAGCUUCCCAAAGUCCGGAGAGAGGCAGGCAGGGUGGGGCCAGGUGGGGGGAGGGAAGCACAUCCAAGCAGCCCUGAGGAAGGCACCGUGGGCGUGGCGGCAGGCCCAGGGACCUAAAAUCAAGAACAGCGGAGACUACAGUGUCCUGAGACAGUUGAACUGCCAAAGAAACCAAGAGCCCAGGCCUGUGUGUGUGACUAGAGACUUGUAAACAGCAUUGGCAGGAAGAGGCUGAGAAAGCACUUCAGCCCCCGAGGAGGGCUUCUUGGUCAGUGCCGUGUUCAGGUGUGGCCAAGAAGACAGGAAGAGGAUGGACCCUCCUGAGGGCCACAGAGAGCCCUGGACGGGCCGCCCACUCCCAGGGCAGGGCGGGCCUGGGAUCUAGGAUUGCUACAGGGCAGGGUCGGCUGGGUGCCCCUGUGUUCCUCCUUCUGCAGGGAUGUCGUGGCUGCCCGUCCCUGUUCCCUGCUGGGUAGGUGACUGGCCUCCCAGUUCACAAGUCUCUAGUGGAACCCCACCCGGCCCCCGUGCAAGGAUGUGCACAGACCUCAUUCGUGGAGUUUACCCACAAUCCUGGGCUUGGGCUUGCACCAUAACUGGAUGGGGACCGG
This 1384-nucleotide long non-coding RNA is filed under the name Equus caballus (horse). RNAcentral describes it as "lncRNA (ENSECAG00000046860.1)". Lineage: Eukaryota; Metazoa; Chordata; Mammalia; Perissodactyla; Equidae. The record is from RNAcentral.